ACAUAUAAUAUGUACAUUAUCCAGUAGACCCAUAAUGGUAAAUGAAAGUGGCUAAUUAUUGAAUAAAAAGCCCUUU
Molecule: transfer RNA, 76 nt
Filed under: Iseilema prostratum
Lineage: Eukaryota; Viridiplantae; Streptophyta; Magnoliopsida; Poales; Poaceae
Description: tRNA-Met
Source: RNAcentral